RNAcentral lists this transfer RNA (73 nucleotides) under Stegodyphus mimosarum. It matches the Rfam family "tRNA". Rfam says of the family: Transfer RNA (tRNA) molecules are approximately 80 nucleotides in length. Their secondary structure includes four short double-helical elements and three loops (D, anti-codon, and T loops). Lineage: Eukaryota; Metazoa; Arthropoda; Arachnida; Araneae; Eresidae. The record is from Rfam by way of RNAcentral.
CCCUUCGUGGUGUAGUGGUCGGCACGCUUGACGCGUAACCGAGAGGUCCGUGGUUCGAUUCCCGACGAAGGCG